This 69-nucleotide transfer RNA is filed under the name Dipodomys ordii (Ord's kangaroo rat). It matches the Rfam family "tRNA". From Rfam's summary of the family: Transfer RNA (tRNA) molecules are approximately 80 nucleotides in length. Their secondary structure includes four short double-helical elements and three loops (D, anti-codon, and T loops). Further hydrogen bonds mediate the characteristic L-shaped molecular structure. tRNAs have two regions of fundamental functional importance: the anti-codon, which is responsible for specific mRNA codon recognition, and the 3' end, to which the tRNAs corresponding amino acid is attached (by aminoacyl-tRNA synthetases). tRNAs cope with the degeneracy of the genetic code in two manners: having more than one tRNA (with a specific anti-codon) for a particular amino acid; and 'wobble' base-pairing, i.e. permitting non-standard base-pairing at the 3rd anti-codon position. Lineage: Eukaryota; Metazoa; Chordata; Mammalia; Rodentia; Heteromyidae. The record is from Rfam by way of RNAcentral.
GGUAAGUAGCUUAGUGGUAGAGUGCUUGCUUUGCAUGCAUGAGGCCCUGGGUUCAAUUCCUCAGCACCA